RNAcentral lists this ribosomal RNA (254 nucleotides) under uncultured bacterium. RNAcentral's name for it is "partial 16S ribosomal RNA". It matches the Rfam family "Bacterial small subunit ribosomal RNA", at positions 524 to 776 of the family's 1533-position model. The record is from RNAcentral.
UACGGGGGGGGCAAGCGUUGUUCGGAAUUACUGGGCGUAAAGGGCUCGUAGGCGGCCAACUAAGUCGGACGUGAAAUCCCUCGGCUUAACCGAGGAACUGCGUCCGAUACUGGAUGGCUUGAGUGUGGGAGAGGGAUGCGGAAUUCCAGGUGUAGCGGUGAAAUGCGUAGAUAUCUGGAGGAACACCGGUGGCGAAGGCGGCAUCCUGGACCACGACUGACGCUGAGUGAGCGAAAGCCAGGGGAGCAAACGGG